AUACGGAAGGUCCGGGCGUUAUCCGGAUUUAUUGGGUUUAAAGGGAGCGCAGGCGGAGAUGCAAGCGUGACGUCAAAUUUCGGGGCUCAACCCCGUCUCGCGUCGCGAACUGCGUCCCUUGGUUGCGGGAAGGGGAGGCGGAACUCGUGGUGUAGCGGUGAAAUGCAUAGAUAUCACGAAGAACUCCGAUCGCGAAGGCAGCCUUCCGGCCCGUCAACGACGCUCAUGCUCGAAGGUGCGGGUAUCAAACAGGAUUAGAUACCCUGGUAGUCCGCACAGUAAACGAUGGACACCCGCGGUUUUGCCUGUAUGGCUGAGCCGCCAAGCGAAAGCGUUAAGUGUCCCACCUGGGGAGUACGCCGGCAACGGUGAAACUCAAAUGAAUUGACGGGG
This 393-nucleotide ribosomal RNA is filed under the name uncultured bacterium. RNAcentral describes it as "partial 16S ribosomal RNA". It matches the Rfam family "Bacterial small subunit ribosomal RNA", at positions 523 to 918 of the family's 1533-position model. The record is from RNAcentral.